UGUUUUUACAUGUAAAAUUCCUCUUCAAAAGUGCAAGAUUGAUGUCCUUUUUCUGGCUAGGGAAAGAAAAGCAAUAGCAGGAUGAAGACUGAUGAAAAAGGAAUUGAUGAAGAAAGUUGUUGAAAAAGGAAUUUCUGAUAAAGGCAACCAUUCUGCCUGUUUUGAUGUCAGGAGCUGUCCACAUGAGAAGCAGCUGGAUCACAAAUUGGUGAAAAUAACAGCACCAGAUUCUGCAAGGUCUCCGUAGUCAAGAUUCCUAUGUAACCAAACUCCUCAAGUAGGCAUCUUGUAUAUGUUAAGAUCGGAAAGCCCGAGAACCUUCAGUAAGCAGAACUUUUAAUACUAUAU
RNAcentral lists this long non-coding RNA (348 nucleotides) under Macaca mulatta (Rhesus monkey). Its description in RNAcentral is "lncRNA (ENSMMUG00000060443.1)". Lineage: Eukaryota; Metazoa; Chordata; Mammalia; Primates; Cercopithecidae. The record is from RNAcentral.